This 1685-nucleotide long non-coding RNA is filed under the name Brassica rapa (field mustard). RNAcentral describes it as "long non-coding RNA (BRAP_LNC006896)". The record is from RNAcentral. Lineage: Eukaryota; Viridiplantae; Streptophyta; Magnoliopsida; Brassicales; Brassicaceae.
UGAAUAUAAAAUAUUCAUAAAACAUAUAUUAUUAAACAUUAAACAAACAUAACAUAUAUCUUACAACAAAAGAUAUAGAUACUAUAAUACAGUCUACUUAUAUCACAUCGAUUUAUAUCACUCAUCGAUACUCUCUGGCUCAACCAAAAAGUCUGAUACGUCGAGAUGAGUAUCAUCGUUUAAACCAUGAAAGGAUGGCCCAGGUUCAUCAGAGAUGAAGUUAUUUUCACCUCUUCCUUUCUCUUUUCCCUUUUGAGAUUCUCUAUACAGAUCGGCUAAAUGUUUUGGUGUACGACAAGUACGUACCCAAUGACCUUUCAUGCCGCAUAUGUAGCAAACCUUUCCCGUUUGCCUUUUAUCAUCUUGGCCCUUUUCAUUCCUUUCAUUUUCGUGGAAGUCUUUAUUAUUUCUUUCAUCAUAGGGACGGAAUCUUCUUCCUCGUCCUCUUCCACGACUAUGAUAACGGUUUCCACCACGUCCACGACCUCGUCCUCUUCUAUUAUCAUAACUGGAUGAUGCAACAUUCGCUUCAGGGAAUGGAGCAGAUCCAGUGGGACGAGCUUGAUGGUUUAAGGUCACGAGUUGAUUAUUCUGCUCCGCUACAAGGAGGACUUGCAUCAACUCCGAGUAACGGGUAUAUCCAUUCACCCGGUACUGUUGCUGCAGGAAUACAUUUUCAGGAUGGAACGUGGAGAGAGUUUUCUCGAUCAUAUCAUAAUCACUUAUUUUCUCUCCACAUAACAUCAUCCUCGAAGUAAUUCCGAACAUCGCGGAAUUAAACUCACUAACACUUUUGUAAUCCUGGAACCGGAGAUGGAUCCACUCGUGUUUAGCUUUCAGUAAGAUCACAUAUUUUUGGUGAUCGAACCUCUCUUUUAAAGAUUUCCAGAGGUCACAAGGAUCCUCUUUCGUAAUAUAUUCAUCCUUUAAACCAUCAUGGAUGUGGUGUCGUAAAAAUAUCAUGGCUUUAGCCUUUUUCUCAUCCGACACCGUUUUUGAACUAUCGAUGGUUUCCAAAAGCCCAUUUCUUCUCAGGUGUAUUUUUGCACCCACUGCCCAGGUCAUAUAAUUAUUUUCCGUAAUAUCCAGGGCAUUAAUUUCGAGCUUUGCCAAAUUCGACAUGAUAAUUGUAUUCAUAGAAUAAUAUAUAAAUAUAGUAAAAUUUCGAGCUUUGUCAAAUUCGACAUGAUAACUGUAUUCAUAGAAUAAUAUAUAAAUAUAGUAAAGACGGGAAAUUAAAUGCAUAAUUUAAAUGCAGAAACUAAAGGCAUAAAAUAAAAGCAUUAACUUAAAUUGCAGAAAUUUAAAUUGCAGAAAUUUAAAUUGCAAGAAUUUAAAUAGUAUAAAUAAAAUCGGGAGGCUCAGCCUACCACAUGAUCCGAGGAGUCAUAGAAUACCAUAUUGAUCAUGUUUCAAAGUUCGAGGAGACAUGGAUACCAUUUUGACUUUAUUUAUUUUAAGGUCCGAGGAGACUUAGUCUACUAUUUUUGACCUUUUUUUUAAUUCACGGGGGCAAAGCCUAUCACAUAUUUCUCUGAUCGUGAAGGCAUAGCCUACCAUAACGAUCAGUCGGGGAAGGUAGCGCCUAUCAUCCCGAACGGAAAAGGUCCAGUCUUUCACUCCGAAACAAUAAUAAAAUUUAAAUAAAUUAAGUGUAUUAAAAUACAUAAAUUUAAACAUUACCU